GAUGGUGUGGCUCACAUGGUAGAGCACCUGCCUUGCAAACAUGAAGCCCUGAGUCAAUUCUUAGAACUACCA
Molecule: transfer RNA, 72 nt
Filed under: Dipodomys ordii (Ord's kangaroo rat)
Lineage: Eukaryota; Metazoa; Chordata; Mammalia; Rodentia; Heteromyidae
Rfam family: tRNA
About the family: Transfer RNA (tRNA) molecules are approximately 80 nucleotides in length. Their secondary structure includes four short double-helical elements and three loops (D, anti-codon, and T loops).
Source: Rfam by way of RNAcentral